GCAAGUCGAGCGAACAGACGAGGAGCUUGCUCCUCUGACGUUAGCGGCGGACGGGUGAGUAACACGUGGAUAACCUACCUAUAAGACUGGGAUAACUUCGGGAAACCGGAGCUAAUACCGGAUAAUAUAUUGAACCGCAUGGUUCAAUAGUGGAAGACGGUUUUGCUGUCACUUAUAGAUGGAUCCGCGCCGCAUUAGCUAGUUGGUAAGGUAACGGCUUACCAAGGCAACGAUGCGUAGCCGACCUGAGAGGGUGAUCGGCCACACUGGAACUGAGACACGGUCCAGACUCCUACGGGAGGCAGCAGUAGGGAAUCUUCCGCAAUGGGCGAAAGCCUGACGGAGCAACGCCGCGUGAGUGAUGCAGGUCUUCGGAUCGUAAAACUCUGUUAUUAGGGAAGAACAAAUGUGUAAGUAACUAUGCACGUCUUGACGGUACCUAAUCAGAAAGCCACGGCUAACUACGUGCCAGCAGCCGCGGUAAUACGUAGGUGGCAAGCGUUAUCCGGAAUUAUUGGGCGUAAAGCGCGCGUAGGCGGUUUUUUAAGUCUGAUGUGAAAGCCCACGGCUCAACCGUGGAGGGUCAUUGGAAACUGGAAAACUUGAGUGCAGAAGAGGAAAGUGGAAUUCCAUGUGUAGCGGUGAAAUGCGCAGAGAUAUGGAGGAACACCAGUGGCGAAGGCGACUUUCUGGUCUGUAACUGACGCUGAUGUGCGAAAGCGUGGGGAUCAAACAGGAUUAG
Molecule: ribosomal RNA, 742 nt
Filed under: uncultured Staphylococcus sp.
Lineage: Bacteria; Bacillati; Bacillota; Bacilli; Caryophanales; Staphylococcaceae
Description: bacterial SSU rRNA
Rfam family: Bacterial small subunit ribosomal RNA
Source: RNAcentral